CAGUUCUUCAGUGGCAAGCUUUA
This 23-nucleotide non-coding RNA is filed under the name Xenopus laevis (African clawed frog). Its record names the gene xla-miR-22-5p. The record is from miRBase by way of RNAcentral. RNAcentral also lists the same sequence under 1 other name. Lineage: Eukaryota; Metazoa; Chordata; Amphibia; Anura; Pipidae.